RNAcentral lists this small RNA (72 nucleotides) under Sinorhizobium meliloti 2011. RNAcentral describes it as "putative ncRNA". The record is from RNAcentral. Lineage: Bacteria; Pseudomonadati; Pseudomonadota; Alphaproteobacteria; Hyphomicrobiales; Rhizobiaceae.
ACGACCUCGAGACCAAACGCAGAAGCAGGAUCCGGAUCGGCAUUCAGAUUGAUGGCGAUGCCGGCGACCUGU